CAGUCGCCGCGGUAUACGAAGGUCCCGAGCGUUGUUCGGAAUCACUGGGCGUAAAGGGAGCGUAGGCGGCGUGGUAAGUCAGAUGUGAAAUCCCGGGGCCCAACCCCGGAACUGCAUCCGAUACUGCCAUGCUAGAGGAUUGGAGAGGUAGCUGGAAUUCUUGGUGUAGCAGUGAAAUGCGUGGAGAUCAAGAGGAACACUCGUGGCGAAAGCGAGCUACUGGACAAUAACUGACGCUGAGGCUCGAAGGCCAGGGUAGCGAAAGGGAUUAGAUACCCCGGUAGUCCCUGUCUCUUAUACA
This 301-nucleotide ribosomal RNA is filed under the name uncultured bacterium. RNAcentral describes it as "partial 16S ribosomal RNA". It matches the Rfam family "Bacterial small subunit ribosomal RNA", at positions 509 to 809 of the family's 1533-position model. The record is from RNAcentral.